ACCAAUCAUGCCUGCCCCUUCUUCUUUUCUCUGCCUUCUCCUCUCACUAUCAUUUGUUUUCCCUUGCUUGCUCAUUUUCUUGCCAAUUUCUCUAGCCAAAACCAUCAACACCACUCGCCCUCCCCGCCAGCUCUCCAUUAACUACUAUGCAAAAACCUGCCCUCAACUUGAGCAACUUGUUGGUUCAGUCACUUCCCAACAAUUCAAAGAAACGCCAGUUUCAGGGCCAGCCACCAUUCGCCUAUUCUUCCAUGACUGCUUUGUAGAAGUAAUCUAAAUUCUACACUACUGUUCAUUAUUUUUCCACGCAUGCACAUUUCAGCCAAAUUUGCCUCACAUUUCAAGCAAUUUCUACAUUGCCAUCUUAAUUACCAGAUAUUAAUUAGUUUUAGGCUUGCAUUGAAUGUAUUAUUGUGUGGAUUAUUGAAGGGUUGUGAUGCAUCAAUCCUCAUAUCAACGAAGCCUGGAAGCAUAGAGUUGGCAGAGAAGAAUGCAGAGGAUAAUAAGGAGUUGAGAGUGGAGGGAUUUGAGAGCAUUAGAAAGGCUAAGGCCUUGGUGGAGAGCAAGUGCCCUGGUGUUGUUUCCUGUGCAGAUAUUCUUGCCAUUGCUGCUAGAGAUUAUGUCCACCUGACAGGAGGACCUUACUACCAAGUGAAGAAAGGGAGAUGGGAUGGGAAAAUAUCAAUGGCAUCAAGGGUACCCUAUAAUCUUCCUCGUGCAAAUUCAACCAUUGAUCAGUUAUUGAAUCUUUUUAAUUCCAAAGGAUUAACACCAGAAGACCUAGUGGUGCUUUCAGGUGCACAUACAAUUGGUUUUGCCCAUUGUAAGCAUUUUAUUAGCCGCCUCUACAAUUAUCAUGGCACCAAGCAGCCCGACCCCGUGAUUGAUCCAAGGCUCUUAAAAGAACUAAGAAUGUCCUGCCCACAAUUUGGGGGAAAUCAAGACAUUGUAGCACCAUUUGAUGUUACCACUCCAUUCUUGUUUGAUCAUGCUUAUUAUGGGAAUUUAGAGGCUAAAUUGGGCUUGUUGGCCUCUGACCAAGCCCUGUUUUUGGACCCACGAACCAAGACCCUGGUUCAGCAGCUAGGAAUGGAUAAGCAAAAAUUCUUCCAAGCAUUUUCACAAGCAAUGGAUAAAAUGGGCUCCAUUGGUGUGAAAAGGGGAAGAAAACAUGGAGAGAAGAGGAAAGAUUGUCGCCUACAUGCAUCAUAGAUACAAUUCGAGCUUGAUAUAUUUGUUUUUCCUAUCAUUUUUCACGGGAAAAAAACUGUUGUUAGGUGUUUUGGGGUUUUCUCAUUGUAUUUGAUGCUUGAGAUUUGUAGGAAAGGCGCUUGUGAAUGCAAGCACAGUGAUACAAAUUUAGCAAAACAAUAUUUGGAAAAAAAAA
Molecule: unclassified non-coding RNA, 1387 nt
Filed under: Hevea brasiliensis (rubber tree)
Lineage: Eukaryota; Viridiplantae; Streptophyta; Magnoliopsida; Malpighiales; Euphorbiaceae
Source: RNAcentral